This 102-nucleotide non-coding RNA is filed under the name Gottschalkia purinilytica. RNAcentral's name for it is "Clostridium purinilyticum Guanine sequence". It matches the Rfam family "Purine riboswitch aptamer". Rfam says of the family: Riboswitches are metabolite binding domains within certain messenger RNAs that serve as precision sensors for their corresponding targets. Allosteric rearrangement of mRNA structure is mediated by ligand binding, and this results in modulation of gene expression. Lineage: Bacteria; Bacillati; Bacillota; Tissierellia; Tissierellales; Gottschalkiaceae. The record is from Rfam by way of RNAcentral.
AAAUUAAAUUUGUUAAUAGCUCAUAUAUACCCUGGAAUAAGGCUAGGGAGUCUCUACCGGAUAACCGUAAAUUAUCUGACUAUGAGUGGAAAUUAACUCGUA